GAUGAACGCUGGCGGCGUGCUUAACACAUGCAAGUCGAACGGUGAGGGCGGAGCUUGCUCUGCUGGAUCAGUGGCGAACGGGUGAGUAACACGUGAGCAAUCUGCCCCUGACUCUGGGAUAAGCGCUGGAAACGGCGUCUAAUACUGGAUACGAGCUGCGAAGGCAUCUUCAGCAGCUGGAAGGAAUUUCGGUCAGGGAUGAGCUCGCGGCCUAUCAGCUUGUUGGUGAGGUAAUGGCUCACCAAGGCGUCGACCGGUAGCCGGCCUGAGAGGGUGACCGGCCACACUGGGACUGAGACACGGCCCAGACUCCUACGGGAGGCAGCAGUGGGGAAUAUUGCACAAUGGGCGAAAGCCUGAUGCAGCAACGCCGCGUGAGGGACGACGGCCUUCGGGUUGUAAACCUCUUUUAGCAGGGAAGAAGCGAAAGUGACGGUACCUGCAGAAAAAGCGCCGGCUAACUACGUG
RNAcentral lists this ribosomal RNA (468 nucleotides) under uncultured bacterium. Its description in RNAcentral is "partial 16S ribosomal RNA". It matches the Rfam family "Bacterial small subunit ribosomal RNA", at positions 28 to 507 of the family's 1533-position model. The record is from RNAcentral.